Molecule: ribosomal RNA, 486 nt
Filed under: uncultured bacterium
Lineage: Bacteria
Description: bacterial SSU rRNA
Rfam family: Bacterial small subunit ribosomal RNA
Source: RNAcentral
AUUGAACGCUGGCGGCAUGCUUUACACAUGCAAGUCGAACGGCAGCACGGGUGCUUGCACCUGGUGGCGAGUGGCGGACGGGUGAGUAAUGCAUCGGAACGUGUCCUGAAGUGGGGGAUAACGCAUCGAAAGAUGUGCUAAAUACCGCAUAUUCUCUGAGGAGGAAAGUGGGGAUCGAAAGACCUUAUGCUUUUGGAGCGGCCGAUGUCUGAUUAGCUAGUUGGUAGGGUAAUGGCUUACCAAGGCGACGAUCAGUAGUUGGUCUGAGAGGACGACCAGCCACACUGGGACUGAGACACGGCCCAGACUCCUACGGGAGGCAGCAGUGGGGAAUUUUGGACAAUGGGCGCAAGCCUGAUCCAGCAAUGCCGCGUGAGUGAAGAAGGCCUUCGGGUUGUAAAGCUCUUUCAGUUGAGAAGAAAAAGUCGCGACUAAUAAUCAUGAUUCAUGACGGUAUCAACAGAAGAAGCACCGGCUAACUACGUG